This 1833-nucleotide long non-coding RNA is filed under the name Ananas comosus (pineapple). RNAcentral describes it as "long non-coding RNA (ACOM_LNC025694)". The record is from RNAcentral. Lineage: Eukaryota; Viridiplantae; Streptophyta; Magnoliopsida; Poales; Bromeliaceae.
AUGGUUAAGAUACUUUUACUUGAGUACUUUAUCGUUUAAAGUAUAUCACUUUAGUAUUUCGUAAUUUUAUUUUUCUUUUUUUGUUAUCUCUUUCAUUAUUUUUUCAUUAAGUUAGUGAGAAAGUUAAAACAUAAAAGUAUUAAAGUAAAAAUUCGGUAGAUCAUAGAGUAUUCCAGUGAGAGUAAUAUUUCAAUACACCAUUGUUGGUAGCCGAAUUUUCCGACCCUUGACCCGGUCAAAGAUCCUCCUCUGGAAGGGCGCCGGAGUAAGGAACGGCUGCGGAUAGUGACCCUCGAAGUUUGCGCCCUUCGGCAAAUCAAGCGAUUCGGCUGAUGAGAGAUCGAGACAGCUGGGUUCGAAAACCACUACUAUCUGUUUGGUUUAGCUGGUAUGAGCCGAAUAUAUAGAGCAGACCGGAAACGAAGCCGGAAGAAGAGCCGAAUGGCUAAAGCAAUAUGAGAUUAGGUCGGCUUGAAGAGCCAAAAUGACUUUCUAUUGAUUGACUGAUGGAAAGUAUAAGGACGGAUAUGUAGUUUACAACGGAGUGAUGCCCGUGGAGCAGACAGACUCUAGGAUUCUAUUUAGCGAACUACUCUUAGAAAAAAGGUAGUAAAAUUAUAGGUAGACUACUUCUAGAAAAUGUAGAAAAUUGCGAGGAAAUAAGGGUGGUCUUUUAUUCAUAGGGAAAAACAUCUUUUUUUAGGGUGUUAUUACCCUAUUUAUAGAUCGCCCCUUAAUCAGUUAUUGCUCUUACACGAUCGGCCAUUAGCUCUUAAUAUCCUGGACCACCUCCAGCCGAUCGGAACCGCAUGCAACUGCUUGCAGUUACUGUAAUUUCCUUCAAUUGGCGUGACGGUUUAGUUUAAAACUUUUCUGGUGCUCCUGGUGCACGGCCAGAUUACUGUCUUUGAAGGGAACACCUCAGCGUACCACCUGUCCGCGUCUAAUUGGCUCAACAACCAUAUAAAUCUUGACCAUUUAUUUUUCUUAAUAGAUAGUUUACAUUUAAUAUGACUCUAGAGGUGACCUACUAUUAAAGCAUAGGUACCAUUUAUCACGUACCAAUUUAAAGGGUAUUUUGAUCUUUGUAAAAUAUUUUGGUCUUCAAAAAAUAAUAGUUGGAUUUCAAAUUACAGCCAAAUUAUAAAUUUAAAUUAAAAAACAACAUUUAAAACUUAAUUAUAAAUCAAAUUCAAUUUUUUUAAAUAUAAAACACAAAUUUAAAAUAAAACUUUUAAUUCCAAUUCAAAAUUUCAAUUUAAAUCAAAAAUUAAAAUUUGGCUUUAAGAUUAAAAGUUCAAUUUAGAUUUAAAUUUAAAAAUUUAAUAUAAAUUUGAAAAUUAAUAUUUUAUAUUACAAUACCAACUUCAAAAAUUAAAAUUUAAAUUUAAUAUUUUUUUGAGCUGGAUACUUAACAAAUUAGAUAUUAUCUAAUUUGGUAAGUUACCAAAGUAAAUAAGAUAUUUAAUAUUUAUAGGAUGCUGAUAAAUUUGAUAUAUACUACUAAUUUUAUUUUCCAAUAUUGUCAUAUUAACUAAUUCAAAUCGGUAACCUGUUCAACAGGUUACUUUAUGUAAAAUUUAAUUAUAUCCUCUACUAAUUAAGAAUUAGAUUUUAAUAUUUAUGGUGCAUCGAAGUAUUCCUUCUAAAGUGAAUACUCGAUAAACAGCAGGAUGGGUGUUUGAAGUUUUUUUCUAUAUGUUUUAGCAAAAAAUUAAUAGAAAUACUGACGAAAGGAGAAAAACGAAAUUGCAGAGUACUAAAAUAAUACACUUUAAAAAAUAUGGUACUAAAGUGAGAAAAUGCUUAAUUAUAGGGGAUAUUUGAUGUUUU